UUUUGCACAAGUGGGCCACCUUUUUCGUUUUUUCAGAUUUGGUCCGAAUUUUCAGCAAACUGACUAAAAUACCCUUGUACCUUUUUCUCUCUCCUCCUUUUUUUUUCUCAUUCUUUUUUUCUUUCUCUUCCUAGAGAGCGGCGGAGGCAGAGGCAGAGGUGGAGGCGGCCCGCUUUGGUUUUGUUUGGCGCAUCCUUACCCUCCCCCGCACACCCUCGCCUUCCUCGCCUCCGACCCCGCUGAGGCCGCGCUGCGACUUUUUUUUUCUUCUCUCUCCGACCCUCCUCUACCGUCUCCGACGACGACGCCUAUCUCACCCUCUCUCGUCCUUCUCGCCCUUUUCCUCUCCCUCCUCCUUCGCCUCCUCCGCCGCCUGCGGCGACGACGCCUCUCCGCCGACAUCGGCGCCGCGGAGGUCGCUACGGUGCCGCAGCCUUAGAGCGGAGGGUCUUUAGCGGCGUCAUCGCCGGUGCCGUAGCCGUUGGCAGAGAGGCAUGACAAAAAAAAAUUAUAGAAGAGGAAGAAGAAAAAAAUAAAGAUAAAAAAUUAUAUAAGUAGGUAGAAGAUGAUGAAAUUGCACUGUUAAAAUAAGAUUGCACUGUUUUAAAACAAAUUUG
Molecule: long non-coding RNA, 617 nt
Filed under: Ananas comosus (pineapple)
Lineage: Eukaryota; Viridiplantae; Streptophyta; Magnoliopsida; Poales; Bromeliaceae
Description: long non-coding RNA (ACOM_LNC022474)
Source: RNAcentral